RNAcentral lists this long non-coding RNA (740 nucleotides) under Homo sapiens (human). RNAcentral describes it as "non-protein coding lnc-MACROD1-5:1". The record is from RNAcentral. Lineage: Eukaryota; Metazoa; Chordata; Mammalia; Primates; Hominidae.
GAGGUGACUGGAAUUGAAUGACAUGAUCCAGGGGAGGCCGGCCACAAAUGCAGUAACAUGACCAGGAUGGGCCGGUGGGGCUGGUCAGGUCACAGUGUGAGGGACAGAACGGACCCCUUCACUCUGGCCUCCUGUAGGUCUCCAGGUGUGACAGGAUCCAGCCCGCUGGCAGGAGGAAGGUCACGAAGCAGGAGGUAAGCCCAACGGCCAAUUCCUACACAGAGCACAAGAAAGAAGGCACCUCGGAGUCAGUAUUCCCCUAGGCUCUCUAAGUCCUUGCAGUUCCCAGGCAGCAGAAAGCCCCGCUCAGGGAGCCAGGACUCAGAGGCAAGUGGGAGGCCCCGCAUCCUCACGUUAAAGGAAUCCACGCUCCACGGAGCAGACAGAGCAGGUCCAAAGCUACGCUAACCCUUGAGGUAAAGGGUCAGUUAUAAGGAGGGGGAAGAGUGAGAGGAAGGAGAGACAGCUGGGGUUAGGGUUCAGGGAGAAAUGCACCACCAGAUGGUAAAGGAAGGGACAGGAAGCAGGAUUUAUUGAAACCUGUUUUAAAGCUGGUCUGGGCCGGGCAUGGUGGCUCACACCUGUAAUCCCAGCAAUUUGGGAGGCCAAGGCGGGCGGAUCACAAGGUCAGGAGUUAGAGACCAGCCUGACCAACAUGGUGAAACCCCGUCUCUACUAAAAAUACAAAAAAUUAGCCGGGAGUGGUGGCGGGCGCCUGUGAUCCCAGCUACUCGGGAGAC